GCUUAACACAUGCAAGUCGAGGGGCAGCAUGGUCUUAGCUUGCUAAGGCCGAUGGCGACCGGCGCACGGGUGAGUAACACGUAUCCAACCUGCCGUCUACUCUUGGACAGCCUUCUGAAAGGAAGAUUAAUACAAGAUGGCAUCAUGAGUCCACAUGUUCACAUGAUUAAAGGUAUUCCGGUAGACGAUGGGGAUGCGUUCCAUUAGAUAGUAGGCGGGGUAACGGCCCACCUAGUCUUCGAUGGAUAGGGGUUCUGAGAGGAAGGUCCCCCACAUUGGAACUGAGACACGGUCCAAACUCCUACGGGAGGCAGCAGUGAGGAAUAUUGGUCAAUGGGCGAGAGCCUGAACCAGCCAAGUAGCGUGAAGGAUGACUGCCCUAUGGGUUGUAAACUUCUUUUAUAAAGGAAUAAAGUCGGGUAUGCAUACCCGUUUGCAUGUACUUUAUGAAUAAGGAUCGGCUAACUCCGUGCCAGCAGCCGCGGUAAUACGGAGGAUCCGAGCGUUAUCCGGAUUUAUUGGGUUUAAAGGGAGCGUAGAUGGAUGUUUAAGUCAGUUGUGAAAGUUUGCGGCUCAACCGUAAAAUUGCAGUUGAUACUGGAUAUCUUGAGUGCAGUUGAGGCAGGCGGAAUUCGUGGUGUAGCGGUGAAAUGCUUAGAUAUCACGAAGAACUCCGAUUGCGAAGGCAGCCUGCUAAGCUGCAACUGACAUUGAGGCUCGAAAGUGUGGGUAUCAAACAGGAUUAGAUACCCUGGUAGUCCACACGGUAAACGAUGAAUACUCGCUGUUUGCGAUAUACUGCAAGCGGCCAAGCGAAAGCGUUAAGUAUUCCACCUGGGGAGUACGCCGGCAACGGUGAAACUCAAAGGAAUUGACGGGGGCCCGCACAAGCGGAGGAACAUGUGGUUUAAUUCGAUGAUACGCGAGGAACCUUACCCGGGCUUAAAUUGCAGAUGAAUUACGGUGAAAGCCGUAAGCCGCAAGGCAUCUGUGAAGGUGCUGCAUGGUUGUCGUCAGCUCGUGCCGUGAGGUGUCGGCUUAAGUGCCAUAACGAGCGCAACCCUUGUUGUCAGUUACUAACAGGUUCUGCUGAGGACUCUGACAAGACUGCCAUCGUAAGAUGUGAGGAAGGUGGGGAUGACGUCAAAUCAGCACGGCCCUUACGUCCGGGGCUACACACGUGUUACAAUGGGGGGUACAGAGGGCCGCUACCACGCGAGUGGAUGCCAAUCCCAAAAACCUCUCUCAGUUCGGACUGGAGUCUGCAACCCGACUCCACGAAGCUGGAUUCGCUAGUAAUCGCGCAUCAGCCACGGCGCGGUGAAUACGUUCCCGGGCCUUGUACACACCGCCCGUCAAGCCAUGGGAGCCGGGGGUACCUGAAGUGCGUAACCGCGAGGAGCGCCCUAGGGUAAAACUGGUGACUGGGGCUAAAUG
RNAcentral lists this ribosomal RNA (1437 nucleotides) under uncultured organism. RNAcentral's name for it is "SSU rRNA". It matches the Rfam family "Bacterial small subunit ribosomal RNA". The record is from RNAcentral.